ACGGGAGGCAGCAGUGGGGAAUAUUGCACAAUGGGGGAAACCCUGAUGCAGCGAUGCCGCGUGGAGGAAGAAGGUUUUCGGAUUGUAAACUCCUGUCUUAAGGGACGAUAAUGACGGUACCUUAGGAGGAAGCUCCGGCUAACUACGUGCCAGCAGCCGCGGUAAUACGUAGGGAGCGAGCGUUGUCCGGAAUUACUGGGUGUAAAGGGAGCGUAGGCGGGAUGGCAAGUCAGAUGUGAAAACUAUGGGCUCAACCCAUAGACUGCAUUUGAAACUGUUGUUCUUGAGUGAAGUAGAGGUAAGCGGAAUUCCUAGUGUAGCGGUGAAAUGCGUAGAUAUUAGGAGGAACAUCGGUGGCGAAGGCGGCUUACUGGGCUUUUACUGACGCUGAGGCUCGAAAGCGUGGGGAGCAAACAGGAUUAGAUACCCUGGUA
RNAcentral lists this ribosomal RNA (434 nucleotides) under uncultured Ruminococcus sp. RNAcentral's name for it is "bacterial SSU rRNA". It matches the Rfam family "Bacterial small subunit ribosomal RNA", at positions 341 to 792 of the family's 1533-position model. The record is from RNAcentral. Lineage: Bacteria; Bacillati; Bacillota; Clostridia; Eubacteriales; Oscillospiraceae.